Long non-coding RNA from Cygnus atratus (black swan), 668 nucleotides. RefSeq lists it as uncharacterized. The transcript has 5 exons. The record is from RefSeq and is a predicted model, not a curated record. Lineage: Eukaryota; Metazoa; Chordata; Aves; Anseriformes; Anatidae.
GGUGUCUCUGUGGGCAUAAAAAGUCCAAAAUUUCUAUUCUUUUGGGGAAGCGGAAGCCUCAAUACCUUCAGAAAGGUGACCUCACAUGACACGUCUCCACUGUCAGUCUUGAGCAUCUGUGGCAGAAUCACCAAGUGAAUCCAAAUCAUCAAACUUCCUCACAAUUACAAGGAGUCCGUUCCCAUCUGCGAUCGCCCUGGCUGCUUUUCUCCAUGGCUUUACCAGUUGGGCUGGCCAGAUCUGCGAGUGGCAUUCGAGACAGAGGAAUACUGUGCAAGCACAGGUGUGGCUGCGCACAGUUUAUGAGGCCAGAAAAGGAAGCUUUCGGGGCAGAAGAGGAAGGUUUCGGGGCCAACGCCGCCCAUCCCUUGCAGGCUGCGUGUACCUGCCACGCUGUGGUCGGGUGUUCUUGUUUGUGGAAAGCUGCAAAUGAAGGGUGUUGAAGUUUCGGCACUCCCGUCUUACGAGGGAGCGAAGAGACUCUUACCUUCCACCAGCGAGGUCAGCAGGGUGACGUUUGCAGCUUUGCGCCUUCCUGCAGGACACCGAGCUGGCUUCGGAGGCAUCCCCUGCCCGCAGCAGGGAGCGUGCUGGGGAGCUCCCGGGAGCGCCGUGCCCCUUACCUGCGCAGGACCCCGCCGAGGAGGGAGGCGUUGAGACACUCGGGG